CUUUAGGCGACUGCGGAGGUCAUUAAUGAAUUUUGAAAGGGGUUGUAGCUGGCCUUUUCGUUUGAGAGGCAUCUUGUGCACACCCUGAUCAUUAUCCACAUUUAUACACCUGUGCACACACUGUAGGUUGGUUUUGCAAGGCUGUGCCUCUUCUGGUAUUAGCUUUGUGGGCCUUCCUAUGUUUUAUUACAAACCACUAUUGUCAAAAGAAUGUCUAUUGCAUAUAAUGCAUUUAUGUACAACUUUCAGCAACGGAUCUCUUGGCUCUCGCAUCGAUGAAGAACGCAGCGAAAUGCGAUAAGUAAUGUGAAUUGCAGAAUUCAGUGAAUCAUCGAAUCUUUGAACGCACCUUGCGCUCCUUGGUAUUCCGAGGAGCAUGCCUGUUUGAGUGUCAUGGAAUUCUCAACUCUAUUUGCUAUUUGUGAAUAGGGCUUGGACUUGGAAGUAUUGCUGGACUUUAGUGUUUCAGCUCUUCUUGAAUGCAUUAGCCUGAACCUUGUGUGGAUCAGCUUCAGUGUGAUAAUUGUCUACGCUGCCCUGUGAAGCACAUGCUAUGGGUUCUGGCUUCCAAUGGUCCUUUAUUGGACAACAACCUUUUAUGACCUUUGACCUCAGAUCAGGUAGGGUUACCCGCUGAACUUAAGCAUAUCAAAA
This 654-nucleotide ribosomal RNA is filed under the name Rhodofomes carneus. Its description in RNAcentral is "eukaryotic LSU rRNA". The stretch from base 241 to 394 matches the Rfam family "5.8S ribosomal RNA". The record is from RNAcentral. Lineage: Eukaryota; Fungi; Basidiomycota; Agaricomycetes; Polyporales; Fomitopsidaceae.